Molecule: ribosomal RNA, 254 nt
Filed under: uncultured bacterium
Lineage: Bacteria
Description: partial 16S ribosomal RNA
Rfam family: Bacterial small subunit ribosomal RNA
Source: RNAcentral
UACGUAGGGGGCGAGCGUUGUCCGGAUUCAUUGGGCGUAAAGCGCGCGUAGGCGGCUUCGCAAGUCGGCCGUGAAAUCUCCGGGCUCAACUCGGAGGGGUCGGGCGAGACUGCGAGGCUCGAGGUGGGCAGAGGGCAGUGGAAUUCCGGGUGUAGUGGUGGAAUGCGUAGAGAUCCGGAGGAACACCAGUGGCGAAGGCGGCUGCCUGGGCCUGGCCUGACGCUGAGGCACGAAAGCGUGGGGAGCAAACAGGG